Molecule: ribosomal RNA, 241 nt
Filed under: uncultured bacterium
Lineage: Bacteria
Description: partial 16S ribosomal RNA
Rfam family: Bacterial small subunit ribosomal RNA
Source: RNAcentral
UGGGUAACCUGCCUCAAAGAGGGGAAUAGCCUCCCGAAAGGGAGAUUAAUACCGCAUAAUAUGUUUAAGUCGCAUGACUUUAACAUCAAAGGAUUUUCUUUUAGAAAUUCCACUUUGAGAUGGACCCGCGGCGCAUUAGCUAGUUGGUGAGGUAACGGCUCACCAAGGCAACGAUGCGUAGCCGACCUGAGAGGGUGAUCGGCCACAUUGGAACUGAAACACGGUCCAGACUCCUAGGGAG